RNAcentral lists this long non-coding RNA (5422 nucleotides) under Brassica napus (rape). RNAcentral describes it as "long non-coding RNA (BNAP_LNC009602)". Lineage: Eukaryota; Viridiplantae; Streptophyta; Magnoliopsida; Brassicales; Brassicaceae. The record is from RNAcentral.
UAUCCCGGCGCCACACACUCAUUACCACCAUGGAGGCUAAGAUCAUGGGUUUUGAGCAACUCAAAAUAUCUUAUGAAACUGACCCUGAUUUUUCUGAGCUUUACAGUAACACGGCUAAGGGAGCCAUGGGUCCAUUCUAUCAGCAGGACGGAUUCCUCUUCAAGGAGAAACGCCUGUGUAUCCCUCAUGGUUCCAUGCGACAUUUACUGACCAGAGAAGCUCAUGGGGGUGGAUUGAUGGGGCAUUUCGGUCGGGACAAAACUCUGAGUGUCCUGUCCGACCACUUCUAUUGGCCCCGGAUGAGGCGCUACGUCGAGAGCCUUUGCUCCAAGUGCACUGUCUGUCUCAAAACCAAAUCCAGGUCGCAUCCUUAUGGUUUACACAUGCCUUUACCUAUUCCUAUUGCACCGUGGGUCGAUCUGUCUAUGGACUUUGUGCUGGGCUUGCCCAAGACAGAACAUAAGGAUUCUAUUUUUGUUGUAGUGGACAGGUUCUCCAAGAUGGCACACUUCAUUCCGUGUUCCAAAACCAAUGACGCAAGCCAAACCGCUGAUCUCUUCUUCAAGGAAGUGGUGCGUUUACAUGGAGUGCCUCGUACCAUCGUGUCCGACCGAGACACAAAAUUUCUCAGCCACUUCUGGAGGACAUUGUGGAAAAAGCUUGGAACCAAGCUCCUUUUCUCGACCACUUGCCAUCCACAGACUGAUGGACAGACCGAGGUAGUAAACCGUACACUCUCUCAGUUAUUGAGGGCUACGGUGGGUAAGAAUCUUAAAAACUGGCUGAGUUGUUUGCCUUUCAUUGAGUUUGCUUAUAACCAUGCAAGGCACUCUAUUACUAACCUCUCCCCUUUUGAGAUCGUGUACGGCUUUAGACCAGAGACGCCCAUGGACCUAGCCGCAUUGCCCCCAGCCAUGCAAGUCAGCCAGAGUGGUGACAAAAAGGCUGAGUUUGUAAAGAACAUGCACCGGCAAGUCAAGGAGACUUUGGAGAAGAAGGCUGAAAGGAACCGGAUUAAGCUCAACAAGGGGCGCACAGAAGUUAUCUUCCAGCCAGGCGACUGGGUGUGGCUCCACAUGAGGCCAGAACGGUUUCCGGAAGAGAGGAAGAGCAAAUUAUCCCCACGGGGAGAUGGACCAUUCCGAGUGCUCGAUCGGAUCAAUGACAAUGCCUACCGGCUAGAACUGCCAGGUGAGUUCCAAGUUUCCCGAACGUUCAAUGUAUCUGAUUUGUCUCCUUAUAUUGCAGAUGAUGGAGAUGUUCUGAGGACAGAACCUGUUCAAGAUCCGUCAGCACACGCAGGACGUCCGUGGCUGUCCGUGUGUGUCCGUGUGUCCGUCAGCACACGCAAGACGUCCGUCAGUACACACAGGACGUCCGUCAGUACUGUUGUAGUACCCACGACUGAGGUUCCCAUUAUCCGCAAAGGCCCUACCACAAGGUCCGGUUUUUUUGUCUUAACUUUUUGCAUUUACUCUUAGCCUUGGUCGAUACUCAUAGUAUCCGACCCAAGCAACUAUUUAACCCCCUCUUGCCUUUAAUCUUUCUUUGAGUUUCCUUUCAGAGAACUAUGGGAGAUGUAGGUCAAGACCAAGCGGCCAUAAACGCUCAGCUCUUAGCUGACAAUGAAGAACUGAGGGCGAGCCUUAGGACUAUCACAGCCGAGCUUGCUCAGCUCCGGCAGGGAGGCAGGCCCAACGGACCUCGACCACCAGGAAGGCAUCAGCCGGACCCGCAUGACACUGACUCGGACGCGGACAGUACCGAUGAUACGCGCAGUCAGGACGAGGAGAGGCCAAACCGGGGAGGUAGGAGGAACGCGCGAGGACCCCAGGCCCAAGUAGGAGGAGGCCGCGACCAUAGGGGAGGUCGAGACCGAGAAGAGGAAGAGCCUUGGUUGGGAGGCAAGGCACUUAAGCUUCAUCCCCCAACGUUUGCCGGCAAGGUUGAUCCGGAUGCCUACAUCGUGUGGGAGAAGCGCAUGGAGUACAUCUUCGACUAUUACCAAUAUAGUGAGGCCAAGAAGGUUGCCCUAGCAGCAGCCCAGCUGACGGACAAUGCUCUUUCGUGGUGGGAUUGAGACGUUGCCAAGUCCGGGCCAGUGUGGAGAGCGCGUAAUUGGACCGAGAUGCGGACCAAGCUUCGCGCGAGGUACAUUCCAUCUUACUACCAGCGUGAUGUGCUAAAACGUUUUCGUAAACUUACGCAGGGAACUAAGACUGUGGAGGAGUACUUUGAGGAGUUCGAGGCUCUUAGGAAUAAGCUUGAGACCGACGAGCCCGAGGAGACAAUGAUGUCCCAAUUCCUGGAAGGGCUGCAAGACCGCAUUGCCCGCAAGGUGGAGAGACAACACUAUGAAGACUUCAACGAUCUAUUGCACUUUGCUACGCAAGCCGAGCAGCACAUCAAGCGCAAGACGGCCAGUACCAGCCGCAGCAAACCUGCUUGGACUCAACCGGGUUCAAAGCAAGGCGACAAGGGCAAGACGAUUGAGAUUGAGAGCCGAUUCAAGACAAACCCGGCUGAAUCGUCCAAUGCAUCUAAGCCGGAGCAGGGUAAGACUCAAGCCCAAAAUUUGCGUACUCGUGACAUCAUUUGUUAUAAGUGUCAGGGCAAGGGCCACUAUGCUCGGGAUUGUCCAAACAAACGAGUGAUGGUCCUAAAGGGGGAUGGCGAGUAUGAAUCCCAAGAUGAGGCAGAGGCCGCGGCAGCGAUCUCUGAUGAGGAAGUAACCGACUACCCGGAGACAGGCGAGCUGCUAGUGACCCGGAGAGCCCUUAGCACCCUCUUUGACCCAGAGACCAUCCAGCGGGAGAACAUCUUCCACACCAGAUGUAGUGUUGAUCACAAGGUAUGUAGUUUGAUCAUAGAUGGCGGAUCUUGUACUAACGUGGCUAGCAAGUAUCUUGUUGAUAAGCUAGGGUUGAUCAAAACUGCCCAUCCUCGACCAUACCGUCUCAAAUGGCUCAAUGAUGAGACUGAGCUCAAGAUUGCCGAACAAGUUGUUGUGUCCUUCAGUAUUGGCAAGUACCACGACCAGGUCAAGUGUGAUGUUGUGCCCAUGCAAGCCGGCCAUAUACUUCUCGGAAGGCCAUGGCAGUUUGACAAGGAGACACUUCACCAUGGCCGCACCAACAUCUACAGUUUCGUCCACAACAACAAGAAGCACAGCCUAGCACCUCUCAGCCCCCAAGAAGUUCAUGAUAUGCAGAAGGCAAUGACGCAAUCCGGCCAGGUAAGUAACACUAACCUUUACAUGACUUCUGGACAAGUGCUUAAAUCAUUACAACGUGAGACACAGGUGCUACUAAUGAUCUUUAAGGAAGGUUGUUUUGCAGGUUUAGAAGCUCCUGAAGUACCGGACGUAGUACAAGACCUCAUGGGACGUUACAAGGAUGUCUUCCCUGACGAGAUCCCUGCCGGUUUGCCCCCUAUCCGUGGCAUAGAACAUCAGAUCGAUCUUGUACCCGGCGCGCCACUACCAAACCGAGCCGCUUACCGUGUCAACCCUGAGGAAGCUAAGGAGCUGGAACGGCAGGUCCAAGAUCUCAUGGACAAAGGCUACAUCCGCGAGAGCCUUAGCCCCUGUGCAGUCCCGGUCCUACUAGUGCCUAAGAAAGAUGGGUCAUGGCGCAUGUGUGUGGACUGCCGAGCCAUCAACAACAUAACCAUCAAAUAUCGGUACCCUAUACCUAGAUUAGAUGAUAUGUUGGAUGAACUGAGUGGUUCUGUUGUGUUUUCUAAGAUUGAUCUCAGGAGUGGAUACCAUCAAGUCCGCAUGAAGGAAGGAGAUGAGUGGAAAACCGCCUUCAAGACCAAGCAAGGUCUAUACGAGUGGCUGGUGAUGCCGUUUGGCCUUACCAACGCCCCUAGCACCUUCAUGAGACUCAUGAAUGAGGUCCUCCGACCUUACAUUGGUAAAUUCGUGGUUGUAUACUUUGAUGAUAUCUUGAUAUACAGCAGGUCUUUAACUGAACACAUGGGACACCUAGAACAGGUUUUGAAAGCCUUAAGGGAAGAAGGCCUUUAUGCUAACCUUAAGAAAUGUGUAUUCUGCACUGAUCAAUUGGUAUUUUUAGGCUUUGUUGUGAGUUCACAGGGACUGAAGGUUGAUGAAGAGAAGAUCAAGGCGAUACAAGACUGGCCGACUCCAACCACGAUCGGACAUAUCCGCAGCUUCCAUGGACUGGCCAGUUUCUAUCGACGAUUUGUGAAGGACUUCAGUACCAUUGCCGCCCCAAUGACCUCCGUGAUCAAGAAGAAUGUAACCUUUGCUUGGGGCCCUGCCCAAGAGGAGUCUUUCAACAGGCUUAAAUAUAGCUUGACACAUGCACCGGUUCUAACUCUUCCUAACUUUGAUAAACCUUUUGAGAUUGAGUGUGAUGCUUCAGGGACAGGAAUAGGAGCCGUGCUGACCCAAGGAGGACGGCCAGUGGCCUUUUUCAGUGAGAAAUUGAGUGGAGCCACCCUCAAUUACCCCACCUAUGAUAAAGAGCUAUAUGCUCUAGUAAGGUCGCUUGAAACUUGGCAACAUUAUCUUUUGUCUAAAGAGUUUAUUAUUCAUACAGAUCAUGAGACUCUUAAGCAUUUGAGGGGCCAGACCACACUUAAAAAGAGGCAUGCUAGGUGGCUGGAGUUCGUGGAAACUUUUCCUUAUGUGAUUAAGUACAAGAAGGGAAAGGACAACAUAGUGGCCGACGCCCUAUCCCGGCGCCACACACUCAUUACCACCAUGGAGGCUAAGAUCAUGGGUUUUGAGCAACUCAAAAUAUCUUAUGAAACUGACCCUGAUUUUUCUGAGCUUUACAGUAACACGGCUAAGGGAGCCAUGGGUCCAUUCUAUCAGCAGGACGGAUUCCUCUUCAAGGAGAAACGCCUGUGUAUCCCUCAUGGUUCCAUGCGACAUUUACUGACCAGAGAAGCUCAUGGGGGUGGAUUGAUGGGGCAUUUCGGUCGGGACAAAACUCUGAGUGUCCUGUCCGACCACUUCUAUUGGCCCCGGAUGAGGCGCUACGUCGAGAGCCUUUGCUCCAAGUGCACUGUCUGUCUCAAAACCAAAUCCAGGUCGCAUCCUUAUGGUUUACACAUGCCUUUACCUAUUCCUAUUGCACCGUGGGUCGAUCUGUCUAUGGACUUUGUGCUGGGCUUGCCCAAGACAGAACAUAAGGAUUCUAUUUUUGUUGUAGUGGACAGGUUCUCCAAGAUGGCACACUUCAUUCCGUGUUCCAAAACCAAUGACGCAAGCCAAACCGCUGAUCUCUUCUUCAAGGAAGUGGUGCGUUUACAUGGAGUGCCUCGUACCAUCGUGUCCGACCGAGACACAAAAUUUCUCAGCCACUUCUGGAGGACAUUGUGGAAAAAGCUUGGAACCAAGCUCCUUUUCUCGACCACUUGCCAUCCACAGACUGAUGGACAGACCGAG